UUCAGUGAUAACAAGCAGUUUUUUUACAUCUUAAUAUUUUAUGAUGUAUUUAAAUGAGUAGUUAUUGUUGCAAACUCCAUUAGAAAUUUUAAUUGAGAUUAGUUUUGGAAUAAGGGAAAGGGGGAUGUGAUUAAAAAAAUUGGGGUUCAAUUUUUCUCAUUUGAAAUUUCAUAAAUAAAAAAGAAAAUUUCUUCAAACAUUUUUUUUGAGAGGAUUAAUAUUCAACAGCAUAGUGAAUUGCUUCUAAGAGAAAACAAAAAUUUUAAGUUCAUUAGAACACAUUCAUCUGUGUCAGAAACCUAUGCUGUGUCAACUAUUUAAUCACAAUCCAAAUUUAGAGCUGAAUCCAGCUUGAAUGUUGUGUCCAUACUUGCCCCAACCGUUCAGGGUUCAACUUCUGCGGUCGUAUAAAGCUACGCCCUGCGGAGCAUCUGGUUCAAAUA
This 443-nucleotide long non-coding RNA is filed under the name Mytilus galloprovincialis (Mediterranean mussel). The record is from RNAcentral. Lineage: Eukaryota; Metazoa; Mollusca; Bivalvia; Mytilida; Mytilidae.